RNAcentral lists this ribosomal RNA (481 nucleotides) under uncultured bacterium. Its description in RNAcentral is "SSU rRNA". It matches the Rfam family "Bacterial small subunit ribosomal RNA", at positions 26 to 523 of the family's 1533-position model. The record is from RNAcentral.
AGGACGAACGCUGGCGGCGUGCUUAACACAUGCAAGUCGAGCGGUGACCCUCCUUCGGGAGGUGAUCAGCGGCGAACGGGUGAGUAACACGUGGGCAACCUGCCCCUCACACUGGGAUAACCUCGGGAAACCGGGGCUAAUACCGGAUACGACCUCGAGCGGCAUCUCUUGAGGUGGAAAGCUCCGACGGUGAGGGAUGGGCCCGCGGCCUAUCAGCUUGUUGGUGGGGUAAUGGCCUACCAAGGCGACGACGGGUAGCCGGCCUGAGAGGGCGACCGGCCACACUGGGACUGAGACACGGCCCAGACUCCUACGGGAGGCAGCAGUGGGGAAUAUUGCGCAAUGGGCGAAAGCCUGACGCAGCGACGCCGCGUGAGGGAUGAAGGCCUUCGGUUGUAAACCUCUUUCAGCAGGGACGAAGCGAAAGUGACGGUACCUGCAGAAGAAGCACCGGCUAACUACGUGCCAGCAGCCGCGGUAA